GGGCACAGUCUGAAUCUGCUCAGAGCAAGAUGCUGAGUGGAAUCGGGGGCUUCGUUCUGGGUCUGCUCUGCCUUGGGGUGGGGCUGUUCGUCUACUUCAGGAACCAGAAAGAACAUCUGGACUUCAGCCAACAGGACUCCUAAGCUGAAGGAAAGUGAUGACGCUCAAGGAAGAACCUUCUGUCCCAGCUUCUUUGCAGCAUGAAACAGUUUCCUGCUUAGCUCUGAUUCUUCCGCAGUGAGAGUACUUCUCAGGGUCUGCUUUGCCCCUGGUUCAGUGACCCUGCAGAAAAUGCCCUCCCUGCUGGCUUCCUCAGCCCUGCCCUUGACCCGGAAACCCCCGAUACUGAAGACAGCGCCUUAUCUUCAUUUUUUCCUGGUCCUUUUUUCAUUCAACCUUUAUGGCCUUCCUUGCACUUGAACAUAGCUUUUACCCACAUUUCUUCACAAAGUUUUUCUCAAAUACACAUGGAGUGAGGACCACCUGUCUGAUACAGCUUUAAGGGAAAGGGAGUGGGGCGGGGAAGGGGAGGCAGAGAAAUCCCCCCCGCCACCCCGCUCCUCUUGAGUUCCUGUGGCUGUGUUAAUGAUAAAGUUGACACAAAACAGAUUAACAAGAGAAAAUGAAAUGGAUUUUAUUUCACGUGCAUGGCAGUCUCAUAGAAAUAGGACCUAAGAAGUGGCCAAAGCAGGCAGCUUUUAUGCUUUUUAGACAAAGAAACAAUAAAUUUGUGGUAAUUGAUAGAACAAAGAAACGUAGGUUUUGGGCGCUCAAAUAGUGAAGAAUCUAAACAGAGUUCGGGCUUGGGUAGUAAAUUAAAGACGUAGCAAGUCUUCUUGGUCUGAAUUCCUGUCUUUGGUGAUGUGUGUCCUACCUCCAGAUGUAGCAGGUGUAUCUUUCACAGCAGAGAUUAUUUCCUGCUUUCAGGAAGAAAGAAAGGACAGUCAGAGUGUCUCUCUUGCACUGGCUGUUUAUUUAAGUAAAUUUAAUUCAAAAUUAUCAAUAUGCCAUUGUGACAUAUUUGGAGGUAACCUUCCCUGAACCCCAACAAGAGGAUUUCAUUAAGAUACAAUAAUGGUUUUUAUUUUUAUUUCUGAAUUUUGGUCACUUGUGGAUCAUAGUAGUUUUCCUUCCUUCAUUCUCUGUUUUAUCUUGAAUUUUCUGUAUUCUGUAAUUAGGAAUAUUUAGCUGAGCUAGGAGAAAGUCCUUCAUUCACCCAUAUCAGGGUGGUCUCUUGCCUCUUUGCAUUCUCAAAGACAAAUAUAAAAGUUCCUUCAUACCAUGGGAUACAGAAAGGGACAACAAAUACAAGAAAUGCAGGUGCCUUAUAAGGGUGUUAUGCCUUCAAAAUUUUCAUAAUCAUGUUCUUUUGUAUGUUUUUCCCUGAUAUUUUAAAAAGAAAGUCUCUAAA
This is a non-coding RNA of Vicugna pacos (alpaca), 1411 nucleotides long. Lineage: Eukaryota; Metazoa; Chordata; Mammalia; Artiodactyla; Camelidae. The record is from RefSeq and is a predicted model, not a curated record.